GUCACAAUACAAAUAGAAGAUGAUGAUGAUGAUAAGAGUGGAAAAAAUAAGAGAACUUCCAUUCCUGAAUAUGUCACAAUACAAAUGGAUGAUGAUGAUGAUGAUGAUUGUGCAAAACAUAAGAGGUGUCCCGUUUGUUUUUGGCUCUUUUUGCACUGAUGUCUUUGCCACCUUCUCACAGGGAUGGAGCAGUUAUGGAUGGAUAAAAAGAUUAUAUUUUUUAUUAUUGUAAUCUAUUUUUAUAUUAAAUAAAUAAAUAUAUAUA
Molecule: long non-coding RNA, 265 nt
Organism: Xenopus laevis (African clawed frog)
Lineage: Eukaryota; Metazoa; Chordata; Amphibia; Anura; Pipidae
Exons: 2
Source: RefSeq, a predicted model, not a curated record